UGGCGGACGGGUGAGUAACACGUAAGAACCUGCCUCUAGGACGGGGACAACAGUUGGAAACGACUGCUAAACCCGGAUGAGCCGAAAGGUAAAAGAUUUAUCCGCCUAGAGAGGGGCUUGCGUCUGAUUAGCUAGUUGGUAAGGUAAAGGCUUACCAAGGCGACGAUCAGUAGCUGGUCUGAGAGGAUGAUCAGCCACACUGGGACUGAGACACGGCCCAGACUCCUACGGGAGGCAGCAGUGGGGAAUUUUCCGCAAUGGGCGAAAGCCUGACGGAGCAAGACCGCGUGGGGGAGGAAGGUUCUUGGAUUGUCAACCCCUUUUCUCAGGGAAGAACUCAAUGACGGUACCUGAGGAAAAAGCAUCGGCUAACUCCGUGCCAGCAGCCGCGGUAAUACGGGGGAUGCAAGCGUUAUCCGGAAUGAUUGGGCGUAAAGAGUCCGUAGGUAGUCAAUCAAGUCUGCUGUUAAAGAGCGAGGCUUAACUUCGUAAAGGCAGUGGAAACUGUAAGACUAGAGUGUAGUAGGGGCAGAGGGAAUUCCUGGUGUAGCGGUGAAAUGCGUAGAGAUCAGGAAGAACACCGGUGGCGAAGGCGCUCUGCUGGGCUAUAACUGACACUGAGGGACGAAAGCUAGGGGAGCGAAUGGGAUUAGAUACCCC
Molecule: ribosomal RNA, 660 nt
Filed under: Planktothrix sp. CYN61
Lineage: Bacteria; Bacillati; Cyanobacteriota; Cyanophyceae; Oscillatoriales; Microcoleaceae
Description: bacterial SSU rRNA
Rfam family: Bacterial small subunit ribosomal RNA
Source: RNAcentral